AGACUGCGGCACAGCUCCUCGCAACCAUGCAAAGCUGCUAGCUACCAUUUCUCAAGCAACACAUCCAGCCGCUAAUUCUGCAGAUGUGCAGAGGCCAAGCUGAUCAGGGUUUCCGCUCAAUGCAACCUGCUUAGGAAGAGAAGCGCAGAGGAGCCUUGAUGAUCUUUGCAAUGACUACUGUGAAGAUGACCAACAGUGAACUGUCGUCAGUUGUGCUACAGAAUAUUAGAAGUUCUCACUCUUACCCAGCUGUACCCUUCUACCCCUACCUAUUCUUUCUCCACUCCAAAUGCCCUUUGGUAAUCUUUUCAAGUAUAAAAACCAUGAUUCAUAGUCAACUAAGGUCACUGUCCUCUGCAUCGUGUCUAACCUCAAGACAAAAAUAGUAA
RNAcentral lists this long non-coding RNA (389 nucleotides) under Ictidomys tridecemlineatus (thirteen-lined ground squirrel). Its description in RNAcentral is "lncRNA (ENSSTOG00000030629.1)". The record is from RNAcentral. Lineage: Eukaryota; Metazoa; Chordata; Mammalia; Rodentia; Sciuridae.